This 484-nucleotide ribosomal RNA is filed under the name uncultured bacterium. Its description in RNAcentral is "partial 16S ribosomal RNA". It matches the Rfam family "Bacterial small subunit ribosomal RNA", at positions 30 to 507 of the family's 1533-position model. The record is from RNAcentral.
AUUGAACGCUGGCGGCAGGCCUAACACAUGCAAGUCGAGCGGAUGAAGGGAGCUUGCUCCUGGAUUCAGCGGCGGACGGGUGAGUAAUGCCUAGGAAUCUGCCUGGUAGUGGGGGAUAACGUCCGGAAACGGGCGCUAAUACCGCAUACGUCCUGAGGGAGAAAGUGGGGGAUCUUCGGACCUCACGCUAUCAGAUGAGCCUAGGUCGGAUUAGCUAGUUGGUGGGGUAAAGGCCUACCAAGGCGACGACCCGUAACUGGUCUGAGAGGAUGAUCAGUCACACUGGAACUGAGACACGGUCCAGACUCCUACGGGAGGCAGCAGUGGGGAAUAUUGGACAAUGGGCGAAAGCCUGAUCCUGCCAUGCCGCGUGUGUGAAGAAGGUCUUCGGAUUGUAAAGCACUUUAAGUUGGGAGGAAGGGCAGUAAGUUAAUACCUUGCUGUUUUGACGUUACCAACAGAAUAAGCACCGGCUAACUUCGUG